This is a non-coding RNA of Salvelinus sp. IW2-2015, 3927 nucleotides long. Lineage: Eukaryota; Metazoa; Chordata; Actinopteri; Salmoniformes; Salmonidae. The record is from RefSeq and is a predicted model, not a curated record.
UUCACCUGGAUUCACCUGACCAGUCUGUCAUGGAAGUAGGUGUUCCUAAUGUAUUGUACAUUCAGUGUAUACAUACAUACCGUGUGUGUACAUUAUAUGGCAUGUCUGUUUUCAUCGUCAACAUUGAGAUACUAGUCAGCUUAUCAAAAAUACUUUUUUUCAGUAUGUAUAUCCAGUAAUGUCUCCCUAACUCCCUUUUCAAGCAUUAUGGUGUAAUUUUGGUUUUCAGCAAAAGAAGUAGGCCUAUGCCACAUCCUCUUCCUCAUGAUGUGUCAUCAUUAAAUUCCAGAGCUCAUUGAUGUACAUUUUAACCAUUUCUUUUUCCCAGUGAUGUUGUGAAGUGGUUAAUUUGCUUUCUUGUAUUCCAGAGCAGGAUGUUAUGGAACAGACUGUGUGUAUUGUCCUGAGGAGCUGUGUGAAUGGGCACAGUGUGACACCGAAGGACUUAAUCUCCCCUCUACACUUUCAGGAACCUCUUCCCACUGCAUUCAGUAUGCUGCACCCUCUGGAUGAGAGUGGUGUGCAGACCUACAGGUCUGUUCGAGGCUGCCUGUGUGCAAUACGUCUCUGACAGCACCAUGAAAAUCGUCUUCUUCAACUGCAAGCCCUCCAUAGUUAUAUGACACCGUGCAGGGCAUACACUCAGUCACUCCAGAUCUUUCUGACUACACAACUGAAGAACGUCUCCAGGAUGGAUUCACUCGGCUCACUCUUCCAUUGCCACGCCCUGCAUAACCAAAACAGGAUGACCUCAUCACCAGGCCUCCACUCGUGUACUUACUCACCCAACAUCUCCAGCAUGGCUGCACUCAGCUGGUUCCACUCCCCUGGCAUGGCUGCACACUCCUUGGCAAUGGUGCAGUUUAACAUGUGGUACCACUCAUGUCCCCCAGAGGGCACAGCUUCCUGCCCUCGCCCAACAGCACUGCCAACGAGUCUGCUUGUCCCAGAGAUGAAGCCCAUGGUGCCUGAUCUAUGCAUUGAGCAGCUGUGGAGUGAGACUGCCUCCUCCCACAGGCCAGUGUCCGACAUUCACCUCUGCACAACUGGCUACAGUGGUGUCAUGGAUCCUGCUCUGUGGCCUAGUGGGUGGCAGUGCUCUCUCCUGUAUCAGAGCUGAGGGGCUCUACCAAGCACCACGGGCCCUCCUGUCUGGGUGACUACAUYUUCCAAGUCUGUACCCUACAUCCACACCCUCGGAGACCCCUUCAGCAGCAGUGUCACCCUGCGCCAUUUUGAAGUGCCCCUCUCCAGUGGUUGCACCAAAGAAGGCCCGGACGUCCGACACGGGGUCGAAGGAGAUGGGUAUGGUUUACCAGAAAGCUGAAGAAGAUACGCACAUCCAGAUACUUUUUGCAGGUGCUGGAGUUGUAGGUGAAUUUGUGAAAAGUUUAAAAGAAAACACCCCAUAGGCCAUGCUGUACGUGGAAGUCGUUAAUGCCACCAGUUCCUGUGACUUUCAAGCUCUGAAUCCAGACAGACUAAAAGAAGCCCUGUAUGUGCUGAAGAURGAUGAGGAGCGGAUGGGCGAUCACUGCUGGGCCUCCUGCAACAGCUGGCCAGCCUAGAUGCUGCGUCCGUGCUUCCUGAGAGCGGAGCCUCCGUGUGUUCAGCUGGCUCAGCAGCUGUCUGAAGGAUGAGGAGGUAGCACCUACCUGCCCGGCAUCUGUGAGAGGACCAAACUACUGGUGCUGCUACGCCCUGUACAUGAUUGGAAAUGGCAAUGCCACUUCAGUUGAUGUUUCGAAGUAUCUAGCCAAGCUCUCCAGGCCAGAAGAAAACUAAUUGCAGCAGCUUUGAGGAGACAUAGCAGUAUGAAGCCUGACGCUCCAAAUGAAAGUUUGSCUGAAAAGCUUGUUGUUUGGCUAACAUCAGCAGGUUUCACAUUGAAAGACCUGGAAUCCAUGCUCUUUGGUGUGGCUCUGCCCAUCAGAUGCCAUCUACCAGUGUCGAGAGCAACCCUGCUCUGACUGGUCAGAGGUUGUCUGCCUGUUGAUUGGGCGAAAGGACCUCACCAAGAAAGCACACAAAGUUACCGUGGCCAAAGGCAAAGCUGUAUGUUGUGUGUGUGCGGUCCGGGGCUGAUGCUAGAGGCUCCAGCCACCACAGAGGCAGACGAUAAGGAGGUUGGUAUGAGUGAUCUGAACCAGGACGUGAUAGGUCUCAUCUGGGGCCAGGAGCUGCAUAUCCAGGAGGCCAGACAUCUCCUCCAGAGCUCCCGACCAGUCAGGCUCAGCGAGGUCCACCUGGCCGAGACUGCUGCAGCUGUGCCAGCGUUCCAUGGCUCUGCCAGUGGGCAGAGGCCUGUUGACUCUCUUCUCCUACCACCCUGUGUCAACAGAGCCCCUACCUGUGCCUAAACUCAACCUUACUGAUCUGAACAGCGGGAACAUUGACCUUCCUCCCAACAUGACGAGCUGGUCCAGCUUUCACAACGGGUUGGCUGCAGGCCUGAAUAUCGCCCCGGGCCUCCCAGGUGGACUCUGCCUGCAUUGAUCAGGCUAACGAGUACACAGGCUUCAUGUCUCUGGGCCUCAACGGACACCUCAGCAAGCUGGCCACACUCAACAUACAUGACUUCUUCACCGAGCCCUACAGUCACUCAUUCAAGUCAUAAUCUCUCUGUUAUUAAACAAGUGAACCACGCUGAGUAGGAAGUCCAUGGAGGACUAAUUAAAAUGGCUGCCAUGACAUGACGAGCAUCGGGCUGCUACUGGGUGUGUCUGCAGCCAAGCUGAGAAACAUGGACGUGUCAAUCACCCACCUGCAGAGCAUCCACAUUCCCGCACUGCUCCCACCCACCUCCACUGAGCUAGACGUACCGCACAACGUGCAGGUGGCGGCUGUGCUGGGCAUCGGCCUGGUCUUCCAGGACACGGGCCACCGCCACAACGCAGAGGUGUGAUCGGUGGACUCCCCCUGGUCCUGAGAUGAAGUACUGCACAGACAGAGAGCCCUACUCCUUGGGCUGGCCCUGGGUAUGGUCUGGCUGGAGUUGCUGUGAGCGCUGCUGUCUGUCCCGGGGUCCUGCCAGAUUCCGCAUAGGGGAAGAGACACGGAAGCCCAGCUAGCCUAGCUGGCUCGGUGGUCUCAAAUGGAGGUCGCUAUUAAACGUUUCCAGCACUGCAGGAGCUGUGUUUACUUUGCUUUGUUCCGGGACAAUGUGGACCGCGCUGACUUUUAAUGUAGCAACUGCUUUCUUGCGGAGGACUACAGGGUCAAAGUGGAUACUCUUAGCAAGCAGGUAGCAAACCUACACAAGCUGCUGGGGAAUCCACGCGCCGGUCUGGUGGAAGUGUCGCCGCCGUGUCGGCUCUCCACAGCCGACUGGCCGGUGCUCAGCAGGGAUCCAUCCCUGAAGGGGCCUCCCCCAUCCCUGGAGAACGGAGCUGUUCUCAACCCAACAAACCAGCCAUGGAGGGACGUCACUCGCCGUGGAAGUCAAAGAAAGCAUCCUCUGGCAACAGGGGUUUCCAUGGAGAUAUUAAGCCUGGACCUGACACAGACCAGAAAUKACUUUGCCGCCCUGGAUCCAGAGGUUCCGGCGCCUUCUUCCUUAGGGGCUUCCCAUUCAAGAUCGGAUCCGGAGGUACCUGCGUCUUCAUCUCCUGUUCUGUCUCCCUCUCCGGUGGCUUCUACCUCUGGUUCAGAUCCCUAGAGCUCCCACAAUCAACAGCCCGUGAGGCUGCCUGGUAGACUGGCCCAUUCAACAUCACCAGCUGUCAUCAUAGGCAGCUCUAUGGUGAGAAACAUCUCGGUCACCAAGGCAAAAACCCUGUGCUACCCAAGAGCACGAGUGCAGGACAUCACAAGGCUGCUUCCAACUGGUCUACCACAGAAUGCGGGAGCUGACGCUGUCGUAGUCCAUGUGGGGUCAAACGACAUCAGAAGGGCUAGCUCGGAACAUUUGAAAAUGGAUUUUAAAGA